RNAcentral lists this ribosomal RNA (468 nucleotides) under uncultured bacterium. RNAcentral's name for it is "partial 16S ribosomal RNA". It matches the Rfam family "Bacterial small subunit ribosomal RNA", at positions 28 to 507 of the family's 1533-position model. The record is from RNAcentral.
GACGAACGCUGGCGGCGUGCUUAACACAUGCAAGUCGAACGGAAAGGCCCUGCUUUUGUGGGGUGCUCGAGUGGCGAACGGGUGAGUAACACGUGAGUAACCUGCCCUUGACUUUGGGAUAACUUCAGGAAACUGGGGCUAAUACCGGAUAGGAGCUCCUGCUGCAUGGUGGGGGUUGGAAAGUUUCGGCGGUGGGGGAUGGACUCGCGGCUUAUCAGCUUGUUGGUGGGGUAGUGGCUUACCAAGGCUUUGACGGGUAGCCGGCCUGGGAGGGUGACCGGCCACAUUGGGACUGAGAUACGGCCCAGACUCCUACGGGAGGCAGCAGUGGGGAAUAUUGCACAAUGGGCGGAAGCCUGAUGCAGCAACGCCGCGUGCGGGAUGACGGCCUUCGGGUUGUAAACCGCUUUCGCCUGUGACGAAGCGGGAGUGACGGUAAUGGGUAAAGAAGCACCGGCUAACUACGUG